RNAcentral lists this ribosomal RNA (459 nucleotides) under uncultured bacterium. RNAcentral's name for it is "bacterial SSU rRNA". It matches the Rfam family "Bacterial small subunit ribosomal RNA", at positions 29 to 531 of the family's 1533-position model. The record is from RNAcentral.
AACGAACGCUGGCGGCAGGCCUAACACAUGCAAGUCGAGCGCCCCAGCGAUGGGGAGCGGCGGACGGGUGAGUAACGCGUGGGAACGUGCCUCUUGCUACGGAAUAGCCUCGGGAAACUGGGAGUAAUACCGUAUGUGCCCUACGGGGGAAAGAUUUAUCGGCAAGAGAUCGGCCCGCGUUGGAUUAGGUAGUUGGUGGGGUAAUGGCCUACCAAGCCGACGAUCCAUAGCUGGUUUGAGAGGAUGAUCAGCCACACUGGGACUGAGACACGGCCCAGACUCCUACGGGAGGCAGCAGUGGGGAAUCUUAGACAAUGGGCGCAAGCCUGAUCUAGCCAUGCCGCGUGAGCGAUGAAGGCCUUAGGGUUGUAAAACUCUUUCGCCGGAGAAGAUAAUGACGGUAUCCGGAGAAGAAGCCCCGGCUAACUUCGUGCCAGCAGCCGCGGUAAAGUCUGUACU